AUUUUGGACAAUGGGCGAAAGCCUGAUCCAGCAAUGCCGCGUGAGUGAAGAAGGCCUUCGGGUUGUAAAGCUCUUUUGUCAGGGAAGAAACCGUGAGAGCUAAGAUCCCUCGCUACUGACGGUACCUGAAGAAUAAGCACCGGCUAACUACGUGCCAGCAGCCGCGGUAAUACGUAGGGUGCAAGCGUUAAUCGGAAUUACUGGGCGUAAAGAGUGCGCAGGCGGUUUUGUAAGUCUGAUGUGAAAUCCCCGGGCUCAACCUGGGAAUUGCAUUGGAGACUGCAAGGCUAGAAUCUGGCAGAGGGGGGUAGAAUUCCACGUGUAGCAGUGAAAUGCGUAGAUAUGUGGAGGAACACCGAUGGCGAAGGCAGCCCCCUGGGUCAAGAUUGACGAUCAUGCACGAAAGCGUGGGGAGCAAACA
RNAcentral lists this ribosomal RNA (421 nucleotides) under uncultured bacterium. RNAcentral's name for it is "bacterial SSU rRNA". It matches the Rfam family "Bacterial small subunit ribosomal RNA", at positions 361 to 774 of the family's 1533-position model. The record is from RNAcentral.